UACAGAGGCCUCGAGCGUUAGGCGGAAUCACUGGGCUUAAAGCGUGUGUAGGCGGACUUCUAAGUACCUUGUGAAAUCCCACGGCUCACCCGUGGAACUGCUUGGUAUACUGGUUGUCUUGAGCCUUCUAGGGGCGAGUGGAACAAAUGGUGGAGCGGUGAAAUGCGUAGAUAUCAUUUGGAACGCCAAUGGUGAAAACAACUCGCUGGGGAAGUGCUGACGCUGAGACACGAAAGCCAGGGGAGCAAACGGG
RNAcentral lists this ribosomal RNA (253 nucleotides) under uncultured bacterium. RNAcentral's name for it is "partial 16S ribosomal RNA". It matches the Rfam family "Bacterial small subunit ribosomal RNA", at positions 524 to 776 of the family's 1533-position model. The record is from RNAcentral.